RNAcentral lists this ribosomal RNA (482 nucleotides) under uncultured bacterium. RNAcentral describes it as "partial 16S ribosomal RNA". It matches the Rfam family "Bacterial small subunit ribosomal RNA", at positions 28 to 523 of the family's 1533-position model. The record is from RNAcentral.
AAUGAACGUUGGCGGCGUGGAUUAGGCAUGCAAGUCGAGCGAGAACCGUAGCAAUACGGGGACAGCGGCGAAAGGGACAGUAAUGUGUAGGUACCUACCCCCGGGUUCGGGAUAGCUGCGGGAAACUGCAGGUAAUACCGAAUAAUGUCUUCGGACCAAAGGUGUGAUUCCACCUGGGGAGGGGCCUGCAUCCUAUUAGCUUGUUGGUGGGGUAACGGCUUACCAAGGCGACGAUGGGUAGCGGGUGUGAGAGCAUGACCCGCGUCAUUGGGACUGAGACACUGCCCAGACACAUGCGGGUGGCUGCAGUCGAGGAUCUGCGGCAAUGGGCGCAAGCCUGACCGAGCGACGCCGCGUGCGGGAUGAAGGCCGUCGGGUUGUAAACCGCUGUCGUAGAGGAGGAAAUGCAGGAGGGUUCUCCCUUCUGUUUGACCUAUUCUAGGAGGAAGUACGGGCUAAGUUCGUGCCAGCCGCCGCAGUAA